UGGCUCAGGAUGAACGCUGGCGGCGUGCCUAACACAUGCAAGUCGAGCGGGAUUUUCCGGAUUGAAGCUUCGGUAGAUUGAAGGAAAUGAGAGCGGCGGACGGGUGAGUAACGCGUAGGCAACCUGCCCUUUGCAGAGGGAUAGCCAUUGGAAACGAUGAUUAAAACCUCAUAAUACCGAGGGAAGACAUCUUACUUCGGUCAAAGAUUUAUCGGCAAGGGAUGGGCCUGCGUCUGAUUAGCUGGUUGGUGAGGUAACGGCUCACCAAGGCGACGAUCAGUAGCCGACCUGAGAGGGUGAUCGGCCACAUUGGAACUGAGACACGGUCCAAACUCCUACGGGAGGCAGCAGUGGGGAAUAUUGCACAAUGGGCGAAAGCCUGAUGCAGCAACGCCGCGUGAGCGAAGAAGGCCUUCGGGUUGUAAAGCUCUGUCCUUGGGGAAGAUAAUGACGGUACCCUUGGAGGAAGCCCCGGCUAACUACGUG
Molecule: ribosomal RNA, 486 nt
Filed under: uncultured bacterium
Lineage: Bacteria
Description: bacterial SSU rRNA
Rfam family: Bacterial small subunit ribosomal RNA
Source: RNAcentral